UGCCAUCAGUGUUAUGUAUAAUUUCAGUA
This 29-nucleotide non-coding RNA is filed under the name Mus musculus (house mouse). The record is from RNAcentral. Lineage: Eukaryota; Metazoa; Chordata; Mammalia; Rodentia; Muridae.